UACGUAGGGUGCGAGCGUUGUCCGGAAUUAUUGGGCGUAAAGGGCUCGUAGGCGGUCUGUUGCGUCAGGAGUGAAAACUCGGGGCUUAACCCCGAGCCUGCUUCUGAUACGGGCAGACUAGAGGUAUGCAGGGGGAGAACGGAAUUCCUGGUGUAGCGGUGAAAUGCGCAGAUAUCAGGAGGAACACCGGUGGCGAAGGCGGGAUCCUGGGCCAGUACUGACGCUGAGGCACGAAAGCCAGGGGAGCGAACGGG
RNAcentral lists this ribosomal RNA (254 nucleotides) under uncultured bacterium. RNAcentral describes it as "partial 16S ribosomal RNA". It matches the Rfam family "Bacterial small subunit ribosomal RNA", at positions 524 to 776 of the family's 1533-position model. The record is from RNAcentral.